UUUUAACAGACCUUUUUUUUUUUUUUUUUAAUAAUAACGUGAGGAGAAUAGCUGCUUAUUGCUGGCUGCGUUUAGCCGUUGCUGAGAAAAACAGCCUUGCAGAGAGUGUGUGAAACACUGUAACUCCCCGUUUCCAUUUCAUGCAUCCUAGGUGGAAGUUUUGAUAUUGAUCUCAAUCUUCAACGCGGCUGUGGAGCGCAGAAGAAAGUGGAGGACAAGGCUCCAGUGAAGAAGAAAUAAUGACCAUUUUCUCAGCUUCCCUGAGAGAAAGUGCUGUUUCUGUAUUAGCGUGUGUGUGUUUCGUUUGUCUCUCG
Long non-coding RNA from Salarias fasciatus (jewelled blenny), 314 nucleotides. RefSeq lists it as uncharacterized. The transcript has 3 exons. The record is from RefSeq and is a predicted model, not a curated record. Lineage: Eukaryota; Metazoa; Chordata; Actinopteri; Blenniiformes; Blenniidae.